This is a long non-coding RNA of Maniola jurtina (meadow brown), 207 nucleotides long. RefSeq lists it as uncharacterized. The record is from RefSeq and is a predicted model, not a curated record. The transcript is spliced from 4 exons. Lineage: Eukaryota; Metazoa; Arthropoda; Insecta; Lepidoptera; Nymphalidae.
AUAUAUUUUUAGGGGUGUUAUAAUAAGUACGAAUUGUCAGUUUUAACGUAGCAUAUUCACAUUAGCUGUAACAUGAAAAUGCAACUCCUCAAUAUAUCGAAGUUGGUUACCUGCAUGUCGAAUUGAAGAAAGGUGAUGCAAAAUUAUGUAGGUUAGAUAGGUAAGCAAUAAAUACAAUUAAGAAAAUGGGAUGUAAGAUUUCUGUAU